Long non-coding RNA from Amphiprion ocellaris (clown anemonefish), 2138 nucleotides. RefSeq lists it as uncharacterized. The transcript has 2 exons. The record is from RefSeq and is a predicted model, not a curated record. NCBI's taxonomy places the organism in Eukaryota, Metazoa, Chordata, Actinopteri, Pomacentridae.
UGUUGCAGACUCUCUCCUCUGUUUAGAGAUGGUUGUUGAGAUGUUUUCCUUCAGUCCUCUCUUAAACCAUCUAUCUUCUCUGUACAGAAUGUGAACAUUGCUGUCAUCAAAGGAGCGUUACUUAUCAUUGAAAUGCAGGCGGACUGCCAAGUCUUGUCUUGAGAAGCUGGUUCUCCUGCAUUGUUUAAGUUACUCAAAUAUCACUAAAUCUACCGAUAUAACCGCUCUCACUAAACUUUUUAAUACUUAUCUCUUAAAAUGCGUUAUUUUUAGUGAUUCAUUAAGAAUUUGUGAUCAACAUAUAUAGUGAGCAGGACAUUUUAGAGUUCAUAAAUGAAGAGUGAUAAAUCAUGUUGAAUUUUGUCAGGAAUCUGAUUCUGAUCAUAUACAUACAUUUUUCAACUAAGCUUCAUACAGGUUUAACAUCUUUGAGAAAAGAGAAAGCAAAAGCCACUAUAACCCCGCUGUUAUAUCAACUUAUUUUCCACAUCACCAUUAUUAAAUCCAUAUUUUUGGUCUCAUUCUGAGCAGCUUGACAACAAAAGACCAACCAGUAGCCAAAAUGCUUGGCUUGUUUGAGAUCUCCCUACAUACAACAGAAUUAUGUGUUUUUAAUUUUUUUCAGUUCAAAAAGCAAUGAAUCUUAGAGGGCAAUUUAAAUCCUAAACUAGCAAGAAAUUCCCCCUUGGUUUAAGUAGCUUUUCACCCAGCAUUUUUACAUCUAGAUGUUGCAGAUCAAGCAGAAGUGGCAGACUAGAGUAUCACAAAUGAAUAACCUCAACAUUCACACCUAGGUUCAAUGGUUCAACGUACUUUUCUGAAGUUUUAUCUUCUAAAUUAGUGCCUAAUCUGGGUCUUGGAAAGAAAAUGGAUUUCCAUUCUAGUUCACAUACAAUCAACAUCAGGACGUCCUUUGCGAUUAUAGCUAUUAUAGUGAUUACAUCAAUUAACGGCUGACUGCAUAAUUAUAUAGUGCAGGUAAUUUAGAGACAUUUUUGUCCUCUUUGUGUGCAACAGGAAAGGCAUGUUGGCGUGCACAGUAAUUACAAACAAGGGAGGCAGCUACAUGGACAAUGGGAGGCAGAGGAUCCAACGCUUUGUGUAAUGGACGUGUCACACAUCCUCCUAUUAGCAACGCUGACUUUAAAACCUCCAGUCGACAACCUUCACGGCUCCUGUAUACAGAGGACAACGUAUGAAAUAUUAUUUAACCACAGACAGGUGAAACAGUCGUAUUAACCCUGCAUGCACAUCUUUUUUUUUUUUACUGUCACUGUAAAACACAGACAUGAUGUAAUGUCAUGGAAACAACUGUAAACAAGAUGUACAAUAAAAUAUGCAUUUAUUUAUAGUGAUUAAAGUACCAUUCACUAAAAACAAUCCUGCACACUGAUUACAUGUGCUCACAUACUAACACUAACGCAUUUACACACUAAAGUGUACUGACUCGAUUUAGACAUCAGUACCAACAUAAAUACACUUCAAAUAUAAAUACAGCACUGUACACACGUUUCCCUUUCAUAAAAUUUUAAUAUUGAGAAGAUUGUCAAGAACUGGAUGUGUUGUAUCACUCCCAUUAGAAACCAGAUGUGGCUGUUAUCAACAAUGAGUCUAAGCCAGCAACAGUUCAAUUCACUUGCACAAACGUGCAUUAACUUUAAAAGAAACCAUUAAGUAAAACAUGCUGAUUUGGUUAAAACCGGACCUUUUCAUUUUGAAUACCAAAAAAAAGAAGAAAUGAAAAUGAAGCUGAACAUGCUCUGUGUUCAUGCACAGAUGGGAACUGAGUGUAAACACUUUCAAAAAUGUAUUUUCACAGGCAUUAUUACCUCAUACAUUUUCAACCAUUAGAAAUAAAAAAGGUCAAGUGGUUAAAAAGAAAAACAGCAACUGUUUCAUUCAAAAGUGCAUUCAAUUUUUACAUAAAUGCCAAAUUCAUUCAGUUUCGUUCUGCACUUUACAGUAUUUGGUCAUAAAUCUAUCUCCCAUAAAUUUUCCUCUUUGUUUGGUUACAAACUAGUAUAGGAAUUAUUACGAAUACUUUAAAAUAUACAAUGUCUACUAACUGCAAAAGAACUGGUGUGGCCCCCAUCUGUUCCCCACUUUACUUUUUCAAAGAAAUAAAAAAAAAAAACAUG